AGAAUUUGAGGUGCGUGGCAUUCCACGUCCUCGGUACAAUUUUUCCUGAAAGCCAUUCUAGAUGAUAGGCUCCUCCUUGUGCGACUUCUCGGACUCGGAAAGGCCCCUCCCAGUUGGAUGAGAACUUCCCUUCGUUUUUUCUUGCGUCGCUGCGCAUUCUCCAGACAAGAUCGCCCUUCUGGAAACCUCUAGGCCGGACUUUGGUGUUGUACCGUCUGGACGCCCGGGCUUUGCAGGCAGCCUCCCGAAUCUUGC
This 255-nucleotide long non-coding RNA is filed under the name Phaseolus vulgaris (common bean). RNAcentral's name for it is "long non-coding RNA (PVUL_LNC001813)". The record is from RNAcentral. Lineage: Eukaryota; Viridiplantae; Streptophyta; Magnoliopsida; Fabales; Fabaceae.